RNAcentral lists this ribosomal RNA (274 nucleotides) under uncultured bacterium. Its description in RNAcentral is "partial 16S ribosomal RNA". It matches the Rfam family "Bacterial small subunit ribosomal RNA", at positions 523 to 796 of the family's 1533-position model. The record is from RNAcentral.
CUACGGAGGGUGCAAGCGUUAAUCGGAAUUACUGGGCGUAAAGCGUACGUAGGCGGCAAGUUAAGUUAGAUGUGAAAGCCCCGGGCUCAACCUGGGAACUGCAUUUAAAACUGGCUUGCUAGAGUUGAGUAGAGGGGAGUGGAAUUUCAGGUGUAGCGGUGAAAUGCGUAGAGAUCUGAAGGAACACCAGUGGCGAAGGCGACUCCCUGGACUCGAACUGACGCUGAGGUACGAAAGCGUGGGUAGCAAACGGGAUUAGAAACCCCUGUAGUCC